Molecule: microRNA precursor, 145 nt
Filed under: Gossypium hirsutum (cotton)
Lineage: Eukaryota; Viridiplantae; Streptophyta; Magnoliopsida; Malvales; Malvaceae
Description: MIR7502 microRNA precursor family
Rfam family: MIR7502 microRNA precursor family
Source: Rfam by way of RNAcentral
UGUUAAAAAUUUCCUUCAUUUUUAUUGUUAAAAACUGGCAUAGAUGACAAGAUAAUCAGACAAUUACACAUGACAUGUCGUGUAUACCUCAUGUUGGCAUUUUGGGAUCAGCUUUUAACAAUAGAGACAGAAGAACUAGUUUGCU